RNAcentral lists this ribosomal RNA (938 nucleotides) under Lactiplantibacillus plantarum. RNAcentral's name for it is "bacterial SSU rRNA". It matches the Rfam family "Bacterial small subunit ribosomal RNA", at positions 53 to 873 of the family's 1533-position model. Lineage: Bacteria; Bacillati; Bacillota; Bacilli; Lactobacillales; Lactobacillaceae. The record is from RNAcentral.
ACAUGCAAGUCGAACGAACUCUGGUAUUGAUUGGUGCUUGCAUCAUGAUUUACAUUUGAGUGAGUGGCGAACUGGUGAGUAACACGUGGGAAACCUGCCCAGAAGCGGGGGAUAACACCUGGAAACAGAUGCUAAUACCGCAUAACAACUUGGACCGCAUGGUCCGAGUUUGAAAGAUGGCUUCGGCUAUCACUUUUGGAUGGUCCCGCGGCGUAUUAGCUAGAUGGUGGGGUAACGGCUCACCAUGGCAAUGAUACGUAGCCGACCUGAGAGGGUAAUCGGCCACAUUGGGACUGAGACACGGCCCAAACUCCUACGGGAGGCAGCAGUAGGGAAUCUUCCACAAUGGACGAAAGUCUGAUGGAGCAACGCCGCGUGAGUGAAGAAGGGUUUCGGCUCGUAAAACUCUGUUGUUAAAGAAGAACAUAUCUGAGAGUAACUGUUCAGGUAUUGACGGUAUUUAACCAGAAAGCCACGGCUAACUACGUGCCAGCAGCCGCGGUAAUACGUAAGUGGCAAGCGUUGUCCGGAUUUAUUGGGCGUAAAGCGAGCGCAGGCGGUUUUUUAAGUCUGAUGUGAAAGCCUUCGGCUCAACCGAAGAAGUGCAUCGGAAACUGGGAAACUUGAGUGCACAAAAGGACAGUGUAACUCCAUGUGUAGCGGUGAAAUGCGUAUAUAUAUGGAAGAACACCACCGGCGAAUGCGGCUGUCUGGUCUGUUACAGACGCUGAGGCCCGCAUGUAUGCGUGGGCGAUCAUGAUUAUAUAUCCCGGUUGUCCCUACCACAGACGAUGUAUGCUGGCCUGUUGGUGGGAUUUCAGUCCCUCAGUGCUCGCAUGCAACUGCAUCAAGUCAAACAGACAGCUGUAGCACAGCAGACUUAGAAAGAACACUCAUGCGAACUGAUAGCGCGCCCAAUAACUCGCGAACGAAGCUUG